GAAAUGCGAUAAGUAAUGUGAAUUGCAGAAUUCAGUGAAUCAUCGAAUCUUUGAACGCACAUUGCGCCCGCCAGUAUUCUGGCGGGCAUGCCUGUUCGAGCGUCAUUUCAACCAUCAAGCCCCGGCUUGUGUUGGGGACCUGCGGCUGCCCACAGGCCCUGAAAAACAGUGGCGGGCUCGCUGUCACACCGAGCGUAGUAGCAUACAUUCUCACUCAGGGCGUGCUGCGGGUUCCGGCCGUUAAACGACCUUCAUAACCCAAGGUUGACCUCGGAUCAGGUAGGAAGACCCGCUGAACUUAAGC
RNAcentral lists this unclassified non-coding RNA (304 nucleotides) under plant metagenome. Its description in RNAcentral is "partial contains 5.8S ribosomal RNA, internal transcribed spacer 2, and large subunit ribosomal RNA". The stretch from base 1 to 105 matches the Rfam family "5.8S ribosomal RNA", at positions 50 to 154 of the family's 154-position model. The record is from RNAcentral.